UUGUUCAAAUAAAUGAUAAAAUUAUCUCGGUUCAAAACAAGGCCGCCCAUUCUAAAUGAAGAGAAGUUAUCAUAAAGCGGAAAACAAAAAACAACUACAUUCUUUAUGAAAUUAUAGCGUAUGAAAUAAAACCAUAUUCCCUGAUGUCACAUUUAUCAUAGCAUUUCCCUGGCAGCACAGACUAAGUCUCUUCAUCUCUAGCAUGGAACUCAUCAUAUGUUGGCUCACCUGAAACAAAAUGGCAAUUAGCUCAAACACAAACACACACCGAAAGUGACUUAUCAUAUUUUAAAAUAAAAUACGGAUAAACAAAAAUAUAAGCAAAAUACAUUAUACAAUUAUUUAUAACACAAUUCAACUUAAUACAAUCCACGCCACUUCACCACUUUAUCAUUUAUAAUUCAUCUUUCAAUCACCAAUCGCAUUACACAUGAAUCACACACUAGAGUCAAGAUAUAAUAACACUCACCAAUUUCAUAAUAAACAAUUCACGGGCGUUAUGCAACAAGUAUACUGAGACUCAAGCCUAUAUGUAAUGUGGUACCACACAGGAGUGCUUAAGAGUACAUAACAAGACACGUCACACGAUAAGUAUGUCCGGUCACUCUCACUAAGUAAAAUUAUAAGGUGACCCGUCAGAGUCACUCUGUUUUGCAAGAAUGCUCUAACCACAUGGGAUCAAUAUAGGUUUAAAGGAACACUCAAACUAAGUGUUUCUACCCCCAAGGCCUAGACUCUGAAGAAUCCGUUAAGGCCUUACCUUCUUGAUCCAGGUCCAACCCUAAAAAAUAACUUUUGCACGCAGAUACUAUUCAUGAAUUAUACAAUACACACGACGUUACAUUUGUGUUUCAAACACGUUUAACAUAUUGCGCUACAAUUUAACAUUUCAGGUUCCUAACUUGGAACCUUACACUUUUCUUUUAACACUUCGUGCAUAAACAUUUUUUUCAAGAUAAACAUCAGUUGAAUUAUUGUAUAAUUCAUAACUCACAACAUAAAUAGUAUCAUGUCAAGUAUUAACCACUCACUUAUUCACAACCAUAUCUCAUAUUCAUAAUUUACCAUCCCACAAAUUAACUAACUACAAAAUAUACUUAGCAAAUAAAUAAGCAUAUAUUAUAAUAAUAGGAUAUAUCUAACUUCAAAGCUUAUAAAUAUAUUUAUAUAUAUCAAAUAUAUAUAACACACCACUAUACAAAUAUAUAUAAUACUAAUUAAUAUAUAUAUAUAUAUAUAUAAAUAUAAAAACAUAACAACAUGUUAAAUAUAUAUAUAUAUAUAUAUAUAUAUAUAUAUAACAAUAAAUAUAAAUAUAUUCUUAGAUAAAAAUAAAAAAUAUAUGUAGAUAACUACCAAAAGUUUAUAUACAUAUAUAUAUAUAUAUAUAUAUAUAUAUAUAUAUAUAUAUAUAUGUAUAUCUUAAAUGUAUUUUAACGAAGUCAUGGACAUCCAAUAAUGAAAAACAACAACUUGAUUUUGAGCACUGCACCAUCAUCACGGAAAUUAAUCACAAUUUUUAUUUUAGAAUUAUUUCAGCAGUAAAAUACAAUUUGAUAUAAUUUAUUCAUGACAAAAAAAAAUUAUGAGCAUCUAAAGAAAUUAUACAAUAGAGGAAUAAAAAGAACCCACUCCCCUUAUGGUAAAUUCCUCCUUGCUUAAUUCAUCAAUUAGAAAAAAAUUCAAUUUUAAGGAUUUUCACUCAACAGAGAAACACAUCAAUUUCACAAUAAUUUUACGUUAGGACACCAAUUGGUCCGUCAAACACAAUCAAUCCACGAUUUAAAACAUAAGAACAAAAUUACAUUUUAUAAAACAACCCAAAAUAAUCCAAAAAUUGAUCAUCUAGGAAUUUCUACACAUGUUCAUUAUAAUCCCCAAACGUGAAUAACUCAUCCCUUACCUUGAGGUAGUUGCUCAAGCGCUCUCUAUUAGGAAUGGUGGCGUAUCUGGUGCUCUCUAGAACUCCUCUUCCGAUUACUCUGUUAGUGUUCUUGAGAGUUAGAG
This 2007-nucleotide long non-coding RNA is filed under the name Glycine max (soybean). RNAcentral describes it as "long non-coding RNA (GMAX_LNC001570)". Lineage: Eukaryota; Viridiplantae; Streptophyta; Magnoliopsida; Fabales; Fabaceae. The record is from RNAcentral.